This 492-nucleotide ribosomal RNA is filed under the name uncultured bacterium. RNAcentral's name for it is "partial 16S ribosomal RNA". It matches the Rfam family "Bacterial small subunit ribosomal RNA", at positions 29 to 507 of the family's 1533-position model. The record is from RNAcentral.
AGUGAACGCUGGCGGUAGGCCUAACACAUGCAGGUCGAACGGCAGCACAGUAAGAGCUUGCUCUUACGGGUGGCGAGUGGCGGACGGGUGAGGAAUACAUCGGAAUCUACUUUUUCGUGGGGGAUAACGUAGGGAAACUUACGCUAAUACCGCAUACGACCUACGGGUGAAAGCAGGGGAUCUUCGGACCUUGCGCGAUUGAAUGAGCCGAUGUCGGAUUAGCUAGUUGGCGGGGUAAAGGCCCACCAAGGCGACGAUCCGUAGCUGGUCUGAGAGGAUGAUCAGCCACACUGGAACUGAGACACGGUCCAGACGCCUACGGGAGGCAGCAGUGGGGAAUAUUGGACAAUGGGCGCAAGCCUGAUCCAGCCAUACCGCGUGGGUGAAGAAGGCCUUCGGGUUGUAAAGCCCUUUUGUUGGGAAAGAAAAGCAGCAGGUUAAUACCCCGCUGUUCUGACGGUACCCAAAGAAUAAGCACCGGCUAACUUCGUG